UACAGAGGGUGCAAGCGUUACUCGGAAUUACUGGGCGUAAAGCGCGCGUAGGUGGUUGUGUAAGUUGGAUGUGAAAGCCCCGGGCGUUAACCUGGGAACGUGCAUUCAAAACUAGCACGGCUAGAGUACGGGAGAGGGGGUAGGAAUUCCAGGUGUAGCGGUGAAAUAGCGUAGAGAUCUGGAGGAAUACCGAUGGCGAAGGCAGCCCCCUCGGCGU
This 217-nucleotide ribosomal RNA is filed under the name uncultured bacterium. RNAcentral describes it as "partial 16S ribosomal RNA". It matches the Rfam family "Bacterial small subunit ribosomal RNA", at positions 524 to 737 of the family's 1533-position model. The record is from RNAcentral.